AGACGAUGAUCCGGUGCUUGCGGGGAUUAGUGGCGAACGGGUGAGUAACACGUGAGUAACCUGCCCUUGACUCUGGGAUAAGCCUGGGAAACUGGGUCUAAUACCGGAUAUGACUCCUCAUCGCAUGGUGGGGGGUGGAAAGCUUUUGUGGUUUUGGAUGGACUCGCGGCCUAUCAGCUUGUUGGUGAGGUAAUGGCUCACCAAGGCGACGACGGGUAGCCGGCCUGAGAGGGUGACCGGCCACACUGGGACUGAGACACGGCCCAGACUCCUACGGGAGGCAGCAGUGGGGAAUAUUGCACAAUGGGCGCAAGCCUGAUGCAGCGACGCGUGAGGGAUGACGGCCUUCGGGUUGUAAACCUCUUUCAGGGAAGAAGCGAAAGUGACGGUACCUGCAGAAGAACGCCGGCUAACUACGUGCCAGCAGCCGCGGUAAUACGUAGGGCGCAAGCGUUAUCCGGAAUUAUUGGGCGUAAAGAGCUCGGCGGUUUGUCGCGUCUGCCGUGAAAGUCCGGGGCUCAACUCCGGAUCUGCGGUGGGUACGGGCAGGCUAGAGUGAUGUAGGGGAGACUGGAAUUCCUGGUGUGGUGAA
Molecule: ribosomal RNA, 592 nt
Filed under: Arthrobacter sp. EB18(2012)
Lineage: Bacteria; Bacillati; Actinomycetota; Actinomycetes; Micrococcales; Micrococcaceae
Description: bacterial SSU rRNA
Rfam family: Bacterial small subunit ribosomal RNA
Source: RNAcentral